Molecule: small RNA, 354 nt
Filed under: Saccharomyces cerevisiae (brewer's yeast)
Lineage: Eukaryota; Fungi; Ascomycota; Saccharomycetes; Saccharomycetales; Saccharomycetaceae
Description: ribonuclease P RNA
Source: RNAcentral
UAGGAAAGUCAUAAAUAUAUAAAUUAUAUUAUAUAAUUAAUAUAAUAAUAAAAUAAAUUAUAUAUUUUAUUUAUAAUAUUAUUUCUUUAUAAGAUAAAAUAUUAUCUGAUGAAUAAUUAGAUUGAAUAAUAUUUAUAAAGAAAUAUAUAUAAAAAGUCAUUAUAUAAAUUUAAUUAUAAUUUAAAUAAAUUUUAUAUAAAUUAAUAUAAUAUUAAUAAAGUAAUUAGUAUAAAUAAAUAAUAUGAAAAUAAAACUUAAUAAAUAUAUAAAUAUAGUCCAUAUAUAUAUAUUAAUAAAAAGUAAUAUAUAUAUAUAUAUUGGAAUAGUUAUAUUAUUAUACAGAAAUAUGCUUAA